GAUGAACGCUGGCGGCGUGCCUAAUACAUGCAAGUCGAGCGAACGGACGAUAAUCUUGCUUUUCUGAUGUUAGCGGCGGACGGGUGAGUAACACGUGUAUAACCUACCUAUAAGACUGGGAUCACUUCGGGAAACCGGAGCUAACACCGGAUAAUCUUCUGAACCGCAUGGUUCAAAAGUGAAAGACGGUCUUGCUGUCACUUAUAGAUGGAUCCGCGCUGCAUUGGCUAGUUGUUAAGUUAACGGCUUACCAAGGCAACGAUGCAUAGCCGACCUGAGAGAGUGAUAGGCGACACUGGAACGGAGACAGGAUCCUGACUCCUAAGGGAGGCAGCAGAAGGGAAUCGUCGGCAAAAGGCGAAAGCCUGACGGAACAAGGCCGCGUGAGUGAUAAAGGUCUUCGGAGCGUAAGACUCUGUUAUUAGGGAAGAACAUAUGUGGAAGGAAACGUGCCCAUCUUGACGGUACCUAAUCAGGAAGCCACGGCUAACUACGUG
Molecule: ribosomal RNA, 497 nt
Filed under: uncultured bacterium
Lineage: Bacteria
Description: partial 16S ribosomal RNA
Rfam family: Bacterial small subunit ribosomal RNA
Source: RNAcentral